UAGUCAUGUAAAAUCAUAAGCAAUACGUAAGGAAUAGAAAAUAGCCACAAAAGUUCCCAUCUCGUUACGUAUCAGAGCACCUAAAGACACAGUGAGAGAUAGCCACUCACGACAGCAAUCAACAACUACUUAUUCUCGAUCACCUGCAAGUUACUCAUACGAAGAGCAACAUUUCCAAGCAGAAGGGGUGAUAUUUCACAUUCAAUAAUAAUAAGCAUAUAAUACAAAAAAAUGCAUUUAACAACUUAAUUCAGCUUCGUUUAAUAAUGUUAUCUCACAUAAUUAUUCAUUUACUACUUCACUUAUCAUCAUAGACAUCAUC
Molecule: long non-coding RNA, 322 nt
Filed under: Medicago truncatula (barrel medic)
Lineage: Eukaryota; Viridiplantae; Streptophyta; Magnoliopsida; Fabales; Fabaceae
Description: long non-coding RNA (MTRU_LNC001806)
Source: RNAcentral